CCCUUCGGGGGUGACGCUUGUGGAAUGAGCGGCGGACGGGUGAGUAACACGUGGGCAACCUGCCUGUAAGACUGGGAUAACCCCGGGAAACCGGGGCUAAUACCGGAUAAUACUUUCUUUUGCAUAAAGGAAAGUUGAAAGGCGGCUUCGGCUGUCACUUACAGAUGGGCCCGCGGCGCAUUAGCUAGUUGGUGAGGUAACGGCUCACCAAGGCGACGAUGCGUAGCCGACCUGAGAGGGUGAUCGGCCACACUGGGACUGAGACACGGCCCAGACUCCUACGGGAGGCAGCAGUAGGGAAUCUUCCGCAAUGGACGAAAGUCUGACGGAGCAACGCCGCGUGAGUGAUGAAGGUUUUCGGAUCGUAAAACUCUGUUGUUAGGGAAGAACAAGUUGGAUAGUAACUGACCCAACCUUGACGGUACCUAACCAGAAAGCCACGGCUAACUACGUGCCAGCAGCCGCGGUAAUACGUAGGUGGCAAGCGUUGUCCGGAAUUAUUGGGCGUAAAGCGCUCGCAGGCGGUCCUUUAAGUCUGAUGUGAAAUCUCGCGGCUCAACCGCGAACGGUCAUUGGAAACUGGAGGACUUGAGUACAGAAGAGGAGAGUGGAAUUCCACGUGUAGCGGUGAAAUGCGUAGAGAUGUGGAGGAACACCAGUGGCGAAGGCGACUCUCUGGUCUGUAACUGACGCUGAGGA
This 699-nucleotide ribosomal RNA is filed under the name Oceanobacillus sp. AmSamDD22i. Its description in RNAcentral is "bacterial SSU rRNA". It matches the Rfam family "Bacterial small subunit ribosomal RNA", at positions 70 to 752 of the family's 1533-position model. Lineage: Bacteria; Bacillati; Bacillota; Bacilli; Caryophanales; Bacillaceae. The record is from RNAcentral.